RNAcentral lists this ribosomal RNA (262 nucleotides) under Entamoeba bovis. RNAcentral's name for it is "partial small subunit ribosomal RNA". It matches the Rfam family "Eukaryotic small subunit ribosomal RNA", at positions 1010 to 1226 of the family's 1831-position model. The record is from RNAcentral. Lineage: Eukaryota; Evosea; Mastigamoebida; Endamoebidae.
AGAUACCGUCGUAGUCCUAACUAUAAACGAUGUCAACCAAGGAUUGGAUUAGUUUAAGAGUGACAGAAGCCCGGUAACGCUGUUAUUGGGCUGACGGAUCUCGCUUCCACCUUAUUCAGAACUUAAAGAGAAAUCUCGAGUUUAUGGACUUCAGGGGGAGUAUGGUCACAAGGCUGAAACUUAAAGGAAUUGACGGAAGGGCACACCAGGAGUGGAGCCUGCGGCUUAAUUUGACUCAACACGGGAAAACUUACCAAGACCG